RNAcentral lists this ribosomal RNA (517 nucleotides) under uncultured Bacteroidota bacterium. RNAcentral's name for it is "bacterial SSU rRNA". It matches the Rfam family "Bacterial small subunit ribosomal RNA", at positions 75 to 590 of the family's 1533-position model. The record is from RNAcentral. Lineage: Bacteria; Pseudomonadati; Bacteroidota.
GUAGCUUGCUACUUGCUGACGACCGGCGCACGGGUGCGUAACGCGUAUAGAAUCUACCUUGUACUAGGGGAUAGCCUUUGGAAACGAAGAUUAAUACCCUAUAGUAAGUAUUUAUGGCAUCAUUUAUACUUUAAAGGUUACGGUACAAGAUGACUAUGCGUCCUAUUAGUUUGUUGGUGAGGCAACGGCUCACCAAGACUUCGAUAGGUAGGGGCCCUGAGAGGGGGAUCCCCCACACUGGUACUGAGACACGGACCAGACUCCUACGGGAGGCAGCAGUGAGGAAUAUUGGACAAUGGAGGCAACUCUGAUCCAGCCAUGCCGCGUGCAGGAUGACGGCCCUAUGGGUUGUAAACUGCUUUUAUGUAGGAAGAAACACUCUCACGUGUGAGAGCUUGACGGUACUACAAGAAUAAGGACCGGCUAACUCCGUGCCAGCAGCCGCGGUAAUACGGAGGGUCCAAGCGUUAUCCGGAAUCAUUGGGUUUAAAGGGUCCGUAGGCGGGCUAUUAAGUCA